Molecule: long non-coding RNA, 277 nt
Filed under: Lathyrus oleraceus (garden pea)
Lineage: Eukaryota; Viridiplantae; Streptophyta; Magnoliopsida; Fabales; Fabaceae
Description: Pisum sativum (pea) long non-coding RNA (PSAT_LNC035352)
Source: RNAcentral
GAGAAGAACCCGUCAUUCUUCGUUGCUGACAUUCGUAGCACAGACUUCCGAUUGGGCUCAGCAGGAAGAGAAGGAAGAUGGAGCUACAUGGGAGAAUCAAGGUGAACCUAAAUGGGGAAGCGAGACUGAAAGCAACGAAGGUGAUGGUGAGGUUGGGGGUUACGAAGAACCGUCUGAGGAAUUGAAGAUUUUUGUUGGGAAUUUGCCGUUUGAUGUUGAUAGUGAGAAAUUGGCUCGGCUUUUUGAACAGACUCCAGGGACUGUGGAGAUUGCUGAG